Molecule: ribosomal RNA, 521 nt
Filed under: uncultured bacterium
Lineage: Bacteria
Description: partial 16S ribosomal RNA
Rfam family: Bacterial small subunit ribosomal RNA
Source: RNAcentral
ACUCAAAGGAAUAGACGGGGACCCGCACAAGCGGUGGAACAUGUGGUUUAAUUCGAUGCUACGCGAAGAACCUCACCAGGGCUUGACAUACAAGAAGUAGUGAACUGAAAGGGGAACGACCUGUUAAGUCAGGAGCUUGUACAGGUGCUGCAUGGCUGUCGUCAGCUCGUGUCGUGAGAUGUUGGGUUAAGUCCCGCAACGAGCGCAACCAUUGCUCCAUGUUGCUAAUUUCGUUAACUAGCUUGCUAGUUGCGAAAUGCACUCUUGGAGGACUGCCCGGGAUAACCGGGAGGAAGGUGGAGAUGACGUCAAGUCAGUACGGCCUUUAUGCCCUGGGCUACACACGUGUUACAAUGGGCGGUACAGAGGGUUGCCAACCCGCGAGGGGGAGCUAAUCUCAAAAAACCGUCCUCAGUUCGGAUAGGAGUCUGCAAUUCGGCUCCUUGAAGCCGGAAUCGCUAGUAAUGGGAGAUCAGCUCGCUCCCGUGAAUACGUUCCCGGGUCUUGUACACACCGCCCGU